Long non-coding RNA from Bradysia coprophila, 397 nucleotides. RefSeq lists it as uncharacterized. NCBI's taxonomy places the organism in Eukaryota, Metazoa, Arthropoda, Insecta, Diptera, Sciaridae. The record is from RefSeq and is a predicted model, not a curated record.
GCAGUGUGAUGAAUUAGUUGCAUAUUCGCAACACAUCAAAUAAGAUCGUACGUGAAUCCAACAUGAAUCAACGAAUCGUGUUCGUUCUUGUCUUCGCUGUGGUCAUGCUCGCAGUUAUUUCCUCGACUAGCGGUCACAAUCAUUUCGAGUGGAACGGAUGUCAGUGCCAAGCUGGAGGUGAAAGAGGCGGUCAUUGUCAUUGUGCGUGGGACAAUAAGCCGGCCGGUGUUUACUGUCGCGAAGGCAGCAAUCAUUGGAUUUGCUUCCCAUCGAUUUUCUGAGAAAUUUGGCCGGAACUUUGAUCCAUUUUGCUGGAUUGUUUUUGAAGUGAGAUUCAUUAGAAACUGUAUUUAAAUGGAUCGACCAUGGCAGAAUAAACGUGAAGUAAAUACUUUGA